CGCGCCAUCCUGCAACAGUUCAAAAUGUCCAAAAUGCGAAGGAGUUCUUUAGUUCCUUCAAAUGCUCAGCUUCCUCGCGUUUAUCGGUUAGCGAAGAAGGAGAUAUGAGUAAAUUGAGUCUGGCAUCUUUUUAAGCGUGCUUUGAAUGACAAAGCCCACCGACCAAGUUGAACAGUCCAAGAUUGAGAGACUGCAUCAUGGCACACUGCCUCCACUUGUCAACCUUUCUCCGCUGCCUGUCCACAACACUCACACAGCAAGAGCCCCCUUCGCAUCAACCUGCAUAGGGAUCAUCUCCACUUGUCAACCUUCCUCCGCUGCCUGUCCACAACACUCACACACCAAGAGCCCCCUUCGCAUCAACCUGCAUAGAGAUCAUCUCCAAAACAUCAUCUGCUUUACAGGUACAGUCUGUCUCAUCUCCAGACAUGUAGUUUUGAUAAUGAAUUCUCAAUUUUUGCUCAAAUGGCCAGUGUUCUAUAUGUACUCCAUAGAUUGUGACCACUGCCUGUUUCCAGCCUUACAAAUAAUAUUUUUCAAUGCUCAUAAUUAUUUCCUUCCUGAAAUGUUUGUAAACAAUUGUUAAAUGGUGGUUGAACUGUUACGCACGGUAUACAGGAUGAAAGGUUGAAAAUGUUAUGUCAAGAAUAGCAAGCAUCACUCUUCCAAUUAUCCUGCACUUUCA
Nematostella vectensis (starlet sea anemone) is the source of this 685-nucleotide long non-coding RNA. RefSeq lists it as uncharacterized. The record is from RefSeq and is a predicted model, not a curated record. The transcript has 2 exons. NCBI's taxonomy places the organism in Eukaryota, Metazoa, Cnidaria, Anthozoa, Actiniaria, Edwardsiidae.